RNAcentral lists this long non-coding RNA (427 nucleotides) under Rattus norvegicus (Norway rat). RNAcentral describes it as "long non-coding RNA NONRATT012460". The record is from RNAcentral. Lineage: Eukaryota; Metazoa; Chordata; Mammalia; Rodentia; Muridae.
GGAGCUGCCAUUGAGUCAAGCUCAGUUCUCAGGCACAUUCCUGAUGCUUGCAGUUUCAAACAUGCUGCUGUGGGAGAAAGUUUCAUCCAUUCCUGCAUGUCUUGCGGAAGAGGGUGGCUGCUGGAACCCCAUUGUGGAAACAUUUAACAGUGCCAUGCAGCGAGGUGAAACCCUCCGUAAUCUUGCUGACCAAUUAUAUACAGAGCUUAACUCAAAACUGAUUAGGAGGGAUAAGACUGCUGUCAGAGCUGGAACAUACUGCCAUUCGACUCUCUCAAACUCCCCAGAUGGGGAAACUAAGCAUGCAGAUGUUGAAACCGAAAAAUAUUUAAAAAUGUUGAUCAAUUUUGUGGGUGCCUGGAUCAGCCCUCUAUACCAUCUAGUGAUUGAACUGAGUGCCAUGCAAGAUGUCCCUGAAACUAUCCUC